ACGCUCGACACCUACGGGAGGCAGCAGUGGGGAAUAUUGCACAAUGGGGGAAACCCUGAUGCAGCAACGCCGCGUGAAGGAAGACGGUUUUCGGAUUGUAAACUUCUAUCGACAGGGACGAAGAAAGUGACGGUACCUGAAUAAGAAGCCCCGGCUAACUACGUGCCAGUAGCCGCGGUAAUCUGAGCGGGCUGGCAAGGC
RNAcentral lists this ribosomal RNA (201 nucleotides) under uncultured bacterium. Its description in RNAcentral is "partial 16S ribosomal RNA". It matches the Rfam family "Bacterial small subunit ribosomal RNA", at positions 328 to 539 of the family's 1533-position model. The record is from RNAcentral.